This 2482-nucleotide long non-coding RNA is filed under the name Sus scrofa (pig). RNAcentral describes it as "lncRNA (ENSSSCG00045017796.1, ENSSSCG00055009765.1)". The record is from RNAcentral. Lineage: Eukaryota; Metazoa; Chordata; Mammalia; Artiodactyla; Suidae.
GCCUGUGGCCGUGUGGGGUGUGGGGAGGACGUGGUGGGGUGUCCCGGAGCCCUAGGGAGGGGGUCGUGUGCGUGUGUGUGUAUACGUGUGCCCCUUGAGCCCGCUUGUGCCUGCAUGUGUGUGUGCGGGCAUGUGUGUGUGUGUGUGCGUGCGUGUGUGUGCAUGGGUGCAUGAGCUCUGCCUGCGCUGCUGGCUGGCUGCCUGGAGUCAGGACUGAGCCACUGGGGAAACCCGUGGGCGGCUGGAUGCAGGCGGCUCUGGGCAGCUUUCUUGGCCAGUCCUGCAGCCGCCCGAGGCCCUGCUGGGCGGGUCGGGGUGGAAAGGAGUCUGGAGUCCGCAGAAGCCUCCUCCUUUCCUGGCUUCACCUGCUCCUCCUGGUGUCUCUCCGUGGAGUCGGCGGGGAGGAGCCGCGGAAGCCGGGGCAGCCGUGACUGCACCAGGAAGAACAGCUCAGGCGUGGGCACGUGGGCUGUGAGCCCAGCCGAGAUCGCUGCCAGCACAGAGGUCCAAUCCACCCCGCGUCAGGGCCUGGACCAUGGGCCUGAGGUGUGGGUGGGGGAGAUGCCAAGACCAGAAGGAGGUGAGCGAGCAUCCAGGCCCUGCUUGUCCUGUGUCCACUCCGGGCAGAGUGGCCGGGGCAGAGACCAGACCACGCUCUGGGCUGGCUCUCUGAAGAUGCCCGGUGACCUGGUUCCAGCUCCCCAAAGCCAUCUUGUCAGGAAUGCUGGUAGCCCUGAGGGCACAGGGGCUGUGGGCCUGGGUUGUGUCAGCCAUGAGCACUGAUGGGCCAGCACCUGGGCCCGGAGAGCCCACCCUGGGGACAAGGACCAUGCCAGCUGCUGUUUGAGGCUGUGCCUAUGGAGCAGGCUGGGGUCCUGGUGUUCACGGUGCAGCUGCCCAGAAAGCGGGGGGCUGAGGGGCCGAGCUGAGCCUAUGGGGGCUUGUAGGACAGGCCAAGGGGGGGCAGGGGCGGGGCCAUGCACCCCAAUCGUCACCACCCCCCCCCGUGGGGUUUGUAAAAUUUCCACAGCCCUCUGCUCUCUCUGACCAAACCUGCCCUCGGAGUGGGGAGUGGGCGGGGCUGGGUGGGUGCUUCACACACCUUUAGGGCUGGGCUCUGGAUUGGGUGGCCCUCCCUGGGUCCCGGCUCACGGAGGGGCGGCUGCCUCCCCUGGGAUGAGGGUGAGGCUCUGGGGACGCUAGGGGUCUCUGGCAUCCUCUCGUCCUUCUCUUUUCUGGGUCUCCCGACACAGGGUCCUCGUCCCCAGGGUCGAGGAGGGUGGGACAUGUUGGACGUGUGAGAGUCCAGAGCCAGCCCUGGAAUCGAUUCAUUUAUUUUUACUUUAAAGCUUACAUAACGCUUACUCAUCCAGGCAUCGUUCUAAACGCUUCGCCAACCUUAACUCGGGGCACUGUCGUGACAGCCUGUGCUGCGUUCACUAUCAGUAUCCCCCACACACAGGCUGAGGGACCCAGGCCAGAGGCCCUGCUCCCUGUCCAGUCUCACGCAUAAAGUAAGCUGCUGAGCUGCGGACAGAAGCUGAGAUUGCCUUGUUCCAUGAUGCUGUAAAGAUGCUGCUCUGUGCCGGGUGCUGGUCCCCAGCGUUGCCUCCGCUCAGCACCCAGCAGCCCCACAAGGGUGUCAACAGAGCAUCAGGAGGCACUGACCCCAGAGCCCCUCCACGUCCCCGGGAACGGCCGGCCCCCCGUCGCCGCCGAGGGCCCUCGACCAGGAUGGACAGCCAGGGGAAGGCUGCUUGUCUCCACGCCUCUCCGACGGCUCUUCUUCCGGCCCCUCCAGCCCAGGUGGAAUCCUUGAAGCUGGAGUCAGGACUGCCGGGCUUGCGGAGACGUGGGCUCCCCAGGAAGUGCUGAGCCCAUGAUCAGAGCUGCACCCCCACAAGAAGUCACCAUGUGGAUCCCCAGAGGGGAUACUCCGGAAGUGCUUCCAUUCGGCCACCAGCAGCUGUGAUGUCCCCUGACCGUGCAUCCUGGGUCCCAGGGGAUGGUGGGUAGGGGAGCCAGGCGAGGAAGUGAGUCACAGCCCUGUGGGGUGAGCUCCCCGAGGGGAAGGGAUUGCGUAGAGUACUUGGGGGAAUUUGUGAGCCUUCAAGCUGGCCUCUGCUGCGACAGGGGCCAGCAGCCUCGUCCGCUCUGUAGUCCACUCCGGCUGCUCCCUGUAGCCAGGGGUGCGGCAUGGCAGGAACAGGCCACAGGGCAAGGGAGGAGUGUGGUGGGCUCAGAAGGCUCUGGGGAGAGGGUGCCUUGCUCCUGGUGCUGAAAGGACAGCGCCCGGCUUGGGCAGAGGCCGCGCCAAGUCCUGGCGGAAGCUUUUCCGCAAACUGGAGUGGGGCGUCAUGUGCAUCUGAAUUUUUCCACUCCUCUUCUCUGGAGCCUGUCAGUGCCGUCUUGGCAAAGAUGGUUUGAGCCUGAAAGCUUUUCCCAUCUAUUUUUAAAUAAAUGGAAUUCCUGUCACUUGCAU